CUUUUUUUUUUUUUUUUAAUUCGGGUUCCUCAGGCCCUCACCCCUGACCUUUAGUCAGACGGUCUCAGAGAAGGGUUGGGUUUAGAGCUGCUGUAACCCCACCAGAGAGCUAGAAAAUGACCAGACUGGGUUGUUAAUCCAAGUAGUCCUCACCCACGAGCUCUCCAGGCUGAAGCUACUGAAAAAUGGAAAAGCCAUUGGUAGUAUGGACUGUACGAAAAUGGAAGGGGAACAGAUUGGGUCCAAGAAUUGUAGUUUGUCAAGCUUUGCUCCGAACCCUUCAUGUCACCCACCACAGUUCUGAGCCUUGACCCUGCUCCACCCUCUGGCCUGUCAAGCCAGCCAUGAAGAUGAGGGUGUGGAAUACAACCCACCACCCAGACUCUUGCACCUGCCAGUCCAUCAAGACAGUUGUACAGGAACCAGAGCUGCAGUGACUGUUAGCUAUGAUAUGACACGCCACAACACCAGGC
This is a long non-coding RNA of Ochotona curzoniae (black-lipped pika), 473 nucleotides long. RefSeq lists it as uncharacterized. NCBI's taxonomy places the organism in Eukaryota, Metazoa, Chordata, Mammalia, Lagomorpha, Ochotonidae. The record is from RefSeq and is a predicted model, not a curated record. The transcript is spliced from 3 exons.